Molecule: ribosomal RNA, 250 nt
Filed under: uncultured bacterium
Lineage: Bacteria
Description: partial 16S ribosomal RNA
Rfam family: Bacterial small subunit ribosomal RNA
Source: RNAcentral
UACAGAGAGUGCAAGCGUUGUUCGGAAUUAUUGGGCGUAAAGCGCGUGUAGGCGGCUUGAUAAGUCUGGCGUGAAAGCCUGAGGCUUAACCUCAGAAGUGCGCUGGAAACUGUCAAGCUGGAGUAUCGGAGGGGGAAGUGGAAUGCCGAGUGUAGAGGUGAAAUUCGUAGAUAUUCGGCAGAACAUCAGUGGCGAAGGCGACUUCCUGGACGAAUACUGACGCUGAGACGCGAAAGCGUGGGUAGCAAAC